Molecule: ribosomal RNA, 463 nt
Filed under: uncultured bacterium
Lineage: Bacteria
Description: bacterial SSU rRNA
Rfam family: Bacterial small subunit ribosomal RNA
Source: RNAcentral
AUUGAACGCUGGCGGCAGGCUUAACACAUGCAAGUCGAGCGGUAACAGUCCUUCGGGAGCUGACGAGCGGCGGACGGGUGAGUAAUGCAUAGGAAUCUACCUAGUAGUGGGGGAUAACGUUCGGAAACGGGCGCUAAUACCGCAUAAUUCCCACGGGGGAAAGCAGGGGCUCUUAGGACCUUGCGCUAUUAGAUGAGCCUAUGUCGGAUUAGCUAGUUGGUAGGGUAAAAGCCUACCAAGGCGACGAUCCGUAGCUGGUUUGAGAGGAUGAUCAGCCACACUGGGACUGAGACACGGCCCAGACUCCUACGGGAGGCAGCAGUGGGGAAUAUUGGACAAUGGGCGCAAGCCUGAUCCAGCCAUGCCGCGUGUGUGAAGAAGGCCUUAGGGUUGUAAAGCACUUUCAUUGAGGAGGAAGGCCAUUUAGUUUAAUACCUAAGUGGAUUGACGUUACUCAAAGAAG